GAUGAACGCUGGCGGCGUGCCUAAUACAUGCAAGUCGAGCGAACAGAUAAGGAGCUUGCUCCUUUGCCGUUAGCGGCGGACGGGUGAGUAACACGUGGAUAACCUACCUAUAAGACUGGGAUAACUUCGGGAAACCGGAGCUAAUACCGGAUAACAUAUUGAACCGCAUGGUUCAAUAGUGAAAGGCGGCUUUGCUGUCACUUAUAGAUGGAUCCGCGCCGUAUUAGCUAGUUGGUAAGGUAACGGCUUACCAAGGCAACGAUACGUAGCCGACCUGAGAGGGUGAUCGGCCACACUGGAACUGAGACACGGUCCAGACUCCUACGGGAGGCAGCAGUAGGGAAUCUUCCGCAAUGGGCGAAAGCCUGACGGAGCAACGCCGCGUGAGUGAUGAAGGUCUUCGGAUCGUAAAACUCUGUUAUCAGGGAAGAACAAAUGUGUAAGUAACUGUGCACAUCUUGACGGUACCUGAUCAGAAAGCCACGGCUAACUACGUG
RNAcentral lists this ribosomal RNA (497 nucleotides) under uncultured bacterium. Its description in RNAcentral is "partial 16S ribosomal RNA". It matches the Rfam family "Bacterial small subunit ribosomal RNA", at positions 28 to 507 of the family's 1533-position model. The record is from RNAcentral.